RNAcentral lists this ribosomal RNA (253 nucleotides) under uncultured bacterium. RNAcentral describes it as "partial 16S ribosomal RNA". It matches the Rfam family "Bacterial small subunit ribosomal RNA", at positions 524 to 776 of the family's 1533-position model. The record is from RNAcentral.
UACGGAGGGAGCUAGCGUUGUUCGGAAUUACUGGGCGUAAAGCGCACGUAGGCGGCUUUGUAAGUUAGAGGUGAAAGCCCGGGGCUCAACCCCGGAAUUGCCUUUAAGACUGCAUCGCUUGAAUCCGGGAGAGGUGAGUGGAAUUCCGAGUGUAGAGGUGAAAUUCGUAGAUAUUCGGAAGAACACCAGUGGCGAAAGCGGCUCACUGGACCGGUAUUGACGCUGAGGUGCGAAAGCGUGGGGAGCAAACAGG